AGGUUGCAAUGUAGAGACAACAACAUAUGGACUAUGGAGAAGCUGUACAAGGCCAACCAUGUCGGGGGGAGUACGAACAUUAUCUACGGUGAAAAGGGAUUAUGAUCAAAGAAAGGUUGGAAUUGAUAAUGAUCAUUGAAAGAAAGGGAUUAUGUCCAAUUUUAGUUGUAUUUAUGGUUGAGUAAAUAUUGUCUUAACUUGUAUUUGAGAAAUCAUGGGAGCACUAACCAUGACUUUAGGUUUUUAUAGUAGGAGGUACUUUUUAGUAUCCAUAGAAUGGAGGUAAUCCACUAUGCAUUUAUGUAAAACUACAAACAUAACAUUUGAAUAAAGGAUCAUGUAUUUGCCUCACUUUUAUUUCAAAUAUAUAAUUUGAAUAUUAAAUUUGGUCAAAAUAUUUUCAAAAUUAUUGUCUUUAUUAGAAACUGUUGCCUAUA
This 437-nucleotide long non-coding RNA is filed under the name Trifolium pratense (red clover). Its description in RNAcentral is "long non-coding RNA (TPRA_LNC004210)". The record is from RNAcentral. Lineage: Eukaryota; Viridiplantae; Streptophyta; Magnoliopsida; Fabales; Fabaceae.